Molecule: long non-coding RNA, 738 nt
Organism: Asparagus officinalis (garden asparagus)
Lineage: Eukaryota; Viridiplantae; Streptophyta; Magnoliopsida; Asparagales; Asparagaceae
Exons: 4
Source: RefSeq, a predicted model, not a curated record
UUACAGGAAGAGGAAGAGCUGGUAAUUGCGCACCGUAAACAAGUUGAAGAUACGAUAAAUAUUGUUAGGGAGGUACGAUGGCUUCAUAAUUUAUCUCGAUGGAUAUUUCUUUUCCUUGAUCUUCUACGAUGUUGGCACCUUUCUGAGCAUACUCCUGGUCAACGAUGCCCAUCAGAGAUUUUCAUGUUGGUAGUUUUAUUUGAAUUUGGGUUCUUGUGUAGUUAACUUAAUUUUUGAAUAUUUAUUUCAUAUGUCUGAUGCAGGCAUCUUCAUCCACAUCAAAGUUGCAGAAGACUGUUUUUCCUGAACAUGGGAAGAGCAUAAACCUGACAAGAUAAUUACUGUAAACCUUAAUGUGGGAGGUUGUCUGAUGCAAAACGCAAGCAAUGGGAAUACUGGUGUCAUGAUAAAUAAUCGUGAGAUAACAAAAGUUGAGCUGCAGAUGCAAUCUAAACAUAAUGUAUUUACAUUUACCGAUGUCAGCUCCUGCAAUCCUGAUAGAUGUGGUUGUAUCCCAGUGGAGAAGAGUCAAAUGUGCCGGAAGUCCUCACUUCUGGGUGGAUGCUGAUGGAUCAUACUGGGAGGAGGGACAGAAAAAUGUAAAGGGGAAGUUAUGGGGCAAGGCUAGAACCAAGCUUCUAUGCUCUUUUCUGUCACUGUCAGUUCCUUGUAAGGGUGAAAAUCCCUCCGGUGAAGAAGUGAAUAACAUGCUUAAUGGAGCAUUUCCAUUUUUUUUUG